UCGAAGCACGUUUCUGGCAUUUCUCGCAGAUGCGUUUUCACCUAAUUCGUUUAAAUCAUUAAUGAAAUGAAUCUUAAACUGGUGUCUAUUGUUUAUAUAUUCUGCAUCUGCGGUAUUAGCUGCACUGAAAGCAAUGAAGACACUUCCAUCCUGCCAGAAGGCUUUGUGGAUGCCACGCAGAGAUCGACGCACACUAAUAACUGGGCAGUGCUGGUGGAUGCGUCCCGGUUCUGGUUCAAUUAUCGGCAUGUAGCCAACGUCCUGUCCAUCUAUCGGUCUGUGAAGCGCCUCGGCAUUCCCGACUCGCAGAUCAUCCUAAUGAUAGCAGACGAUAUGGCCUGCAACGCCCGCAAUCCGCGUCCCGGCCAGGUCUAUAACAACGCCAACCAGCAUAUCAACGUCUACGGCGACGACGUGGAGGUAGACUAUCGCGGCUACGAGGUGACCGUGGAGAACUUUGUCCGCCUCCUCACUGGGCGCACCCAGAACGGUACGGCGCGCUCUAAGAAGCUGCUCUCCGAUGCCGGCAGCAAUGUUCUCAUCUACCUCACGGGACAUGGCGGCGAUGGUUUCCUGAAGUUCCAGGACUCGGAGGAGAUAACCAGCCAGGAGUUGGCCGACGGCAUCCAGCAGAUGUGGGAGAAGAAACGCUACAAUGAGCUCUUCUUCAUGGUGGACACUUGCCAGGCGGCCUCGUUAUACGAGAAGUUCAAUUCGCCCAAUGUCCUGGCUGUGGCCAGCAGCCUGGUGGGGCAGGAUUCGCUCUCGCAUCAUGUGGAUCCUUCGAUUGGUGUGUACAUGAUCGACCGCUAUACCUACUAUGCCCUGGAGUUCCUGGAGAAGGUACAGCCGUUCAGCACGCGCACCAUUGGCGAUUUCCUGCAAGUGUGCCCCAAGCGUGUCUGCAUCUCAACUGUUGGCGUGCGCAAGGACCUCUACCGCCGCGAUCCCCAUAAAGUGCCCAUAACGGACUUCUUUGGCGCCAUCCGGCCCACACGCGUCUCCACGGACCGCAUCAAUGUGACGCUGGCCAACGAGAGUGAUUUUAUUGCCGAUCCGGACGAGAUUUCUGCGACCAAGAGGCCGUUCAAGAUCAUAAUGGAGCCCCAGUUUCCGUCCGAAUUUUUCAAAUAAAGUGAGUGGUGGGCGAAUCGGGAGACCAGCAAGCAGAUCCAACAGAUUCGACAGAUCCCAACAGGCAGAUCCAUCACUCAUGUGAUAAUAUUAAUUUAUUCUUUCAGGUUCCUUCCAAUGAAAUAAACCAAACCAAAAACAGCACUAUGGCUUGGACUGCAUCUGCAUCUGCAUGAGAGUGCACUGGAUCAACUACUCACGACUGACUCACUCACGCCCAUCUGGCCCAGCAAUUUCUAGACAUAUUUCGGUGUAUGCUUUUUAGGGCGGUCGAGUGCUGAGUCGAGUUGCGUCUCUGAGGAGGAACUACCAUGGGAAGCAGAUAUCUGUGGAUAACAGAUCUAAGAAUAGUGCAGCAUUAUUAUUUGUAAGAUCUCCCCUUGUAUGUACAUAUGACGAGCAUCGGCAUUCCCCAAAUAAUCGGAAAGACAAACAUACUAAAGUA
Drosophila miranda is the source of this 1579-nucleotide RNA transcript. It is a transcript of the gene named putative GPI-anchor transamidase, with no coding region annotated. The record is from RefSeq and is a predicted model, not a curated record. NCBI's taxonomy places the organism in Eukaryota, Metazoa, Arthropoda, Insecta, Diptera, Drosophilidae. The transcript has 6 exons.